UGUAAAAUUUAAGAGCAUUUUUGUUUCUUAGGAUUAAUCAGUCUAAUUUAAACACAUGAUCGAUUUAAAAUAUCUGUACAUUUUUUAUUUCUAAAAAAAAAUUUUAGAGUUAUGAAAUAAAUUAAAUAAAAAAUGUUGUUUUUGUUUAGGACCAGUUCAGAGAAAGAUGGGUGAAACUUAAAAUAGGAUUGAGCCAAAGUUGAACCAGUCUGUUGGGAUAUUUUUCGUAUUUACAAUAAGUAAGAAGACAAAGAAGAUUUCCUUAACUAAUAAUGCACAGAUCCUUUUUCUUGGCUCAUGGACUUCUUUUCCAGGAAGACAAAGAUAGCUAGAUUUUUGAAAGGAAUGUUAUCCGUCUACGGUCUGAGUCAACAUGGCCUUCUGUGCCCUGAAUGUGAUAUCUUUGUUAAAAAAUAAAUAAAAAAAAAUAAAAAAAAGAAUUUUUAAAAAAAAUAAAAUUAA
This is a long non-coding RNA of Planococcus citri (citrus mealybug), 462 nucleotides long. RefSeq lists it as uncharacterized. NCBI's taxonomy places the organism in Eukaryota, Metazoa, Arthropoda, Insecta, Hemiptera, Pseudococcidae. The record is from RefSeq and is a predicted model, not a curated record. The transcript has 3 exons.